Molecule: long non-coding RNA, 828 nt
Organism: Gossypium raimondii (Peruvian cotton)
Lineage: Eukaryota; Viridiplantae; Streptophyta; Magnoliopsida; Malvales; Malvaceae
Exons: 2
Source: RefSeq, a predicted model, not a curated record
AAGAAAAAGAGAAAGAAAAAAGAAAAAAAGAAAAAAUAUCUUACACUCGGGUCAAACCGACCCGGCUGACCCGACUCGACCCGCAAAAGUGACCCAGCCCAGCAUCACCCAACAGGCCGUUCCAGACCCAAGCCCAAAGAGCAGCCCAAGAAAAAAAAACAAAGCAGCGAAAAAAAAGGAGCAAGGCAGAAAAAAAAAAAAAGAAAGAUAGCAGGCCACAUUGUAGCAGGCCAGUCAACAGGCCCAAUAGCAGUGGCAGCCCAAGCAGCAGAACAGAAAAAAAUAGCAGGCCUGUAGCAGGCCUUUUGCGCCAGCCCAGUAGCGCAGCCCAACGCAGGCCCAGUAGCACAGCAGCAGUCCAAAUCCCAGCGCCCAGCAGACCGGUGCCAGCAGCCCAGCAGAUCCGACCCGGUUUCUGGCGGCCCACUGAGGCCCAAUCCGCAGCAAAAAGGGGAAAAGGGCCUGUCUUUCAAACCCAUAACUUUGGGCUUUCGGACAUCUCAUUAGGAAGGUGUUGAUUAGAGAUUGGUUGCCAAAAACGGGUUUCUGAUGAAGGAGUCAAAUUACACAGGUAAUCAAGAAAAAUGUCAUAGUCAGAGACUGGUCUUUGAGGGCCGAGAAAGUAAAAGGGACAAUUUAAAGGAAAGAUAUAUCUCUGAUCUUUCCGAGAAGGCGACUUCGAAUGCUCGUCAGAAUAACCCUGAAGAUUUGACUAGGAUCUGGAAACAGUGAAACUCAAGAACUAGGGUCAUCUUCGUUGGCAAAAUAUUUUGUAAUUGACUCUUUUGAUAAAUGAAACGCCAAAAUAUGGGGCUAUCUUGAAAUCAA